AGUGUCUUAUAAUUGAUGAAGCUGAUUGCAUUCUUGAGCAGAACGUUGAGGAAGAUAUGAAACAAAUAUUUAAACGCCUUCCCCAGAAUCGGCGGACAGUUCUUUUUUCUGUGACACAAACUAAAGAGGUUGAAGAUUUUGCCAAGUUGUCAUUUGAGAAAAACGAAGAAAGGAAAGAAAAACCUGUUUAUAUCUCAGUUGAUGAUGGUAAAUCAAAUGUAAGAA
This is a long non-coding RNA of Hordeum vulgare subsp. vulgare (domesticated barley), 225 nucleotides long. RefSeq lists it as uncharacterized. The record is from RefSeq and is a predicted model, not a curated record. NCBI's taxonomy places the organism in Eukaryota, Viridiplantae, Streptophyta, Magnoliopsida, Poales, Poaceae. The transcript has 3 exons.